Mandrillus leucophaeus (drill) is the source of this 430-nucleotide long non-coding RNA. RefSeq lists it as uncharacterized. The transcript has 2 exons. The record is from RefSeq and is a predicted model, not a curated record. NCBI's taxonomy places the organism in Eukaryota, Metazoa, Chordata, Mammalia, Primates, Cercopithecidae.
GUGCCCACCAGCUUAACCACAGCACACACUGCAACUCAUUCAUACGAGAAACACAUGAAAUGUAGGCUGUGUUGAGAAAUACAUAGCAGAAUCGUAAUUAGAGGCCAGAGGAAAAGGUUGUGACGACCAUGUCAAGAUUUAUGCCUGCAAGAUGGGUUGCAGAAUUGACCUGAGCAGACCAGGCUUCCGAGGGUCAAAAAAGCGCGUGAAGGAGCGACGCUGAGCACAUUCUGGGUUCACAUUCCCCUCCUCUACUGCAUUCCUGAAUUUUCUGCCUCAUAGCGGCAUCUGAAGCACUGGCUGUGUGUGUGCUUAACCACCCUUCAAAUCCACAGCAUGUCAUAUUACCUCGUUUUUGGCUCCCUGGGACUAUUUUGGAGGACCUGAAUUAGUCAUGUGGGAUACUUGAUUAAAAACCACUUGAACGGCC